Molecule: ribosomal RNA, 447 nt
Filed under: uncultured bacterium
Lineage: Bacteria
Description: bacterial SSU rRNA
Rfam family: Bacterial small subunit ribosomal RNA
Source: RNAcentral
CCCCAGACUCCUACGGGAGGCAGCAGUGGGGAAUAUUGCACAAUGGGGGGAACCCUGAUGCAGCGACGCCGCGUGAGUGAAGAAGUCUUUCGGUAUGUAAAGCUCUGUCAGCAGGGAAGAAGAAAGACGGUACCUGACCAAGAAGCCCCGGCUAACUACGUGCCAGCAGCCGCGGUAAUACGUAGGGGGCAAGCGUUAUCCGGAUUUACUGGGUGUAAAGGGAGCGCAGACGGCAGUGCAAGUCUGGAGUGAAAGCCCGGGGCCCAACCCCGGGACUGCUCUGGAAACUGUACGGCUAGAGUACGGGAGGGGCAGGCGGAAUUCCUAGUGUAGCGGUGAAAUGCGUAGAUAUUAGGAGGAACACCGGCGGCGAAGGCGGCCUGCUGGACCGAAACUGACGUUGAGGCUCGAAAGCGUGGGGAGCAAACAGGAUUAGAUACCCGAGUA